Long non-coding RNA from Lemur catta (Ring-tailed lemur), 195 nucleotides. RefSeq lists it as uncharacterized. Lineage: Eukaryota; Metazoa; Chordata; Mammalia; Primates; Lemuridae. The transcript is spliced from 3 exons. The record is from RefSeq and is a predicted model, not a curated record.
UUUUUAGUAGUGACCUGGAGUGUCUCCAAGAUCCAAGUGCGAAAAUAACAGAAGAAAGCCUUCCAGAUUCAGAGAAUGCAAGAAGUGUUGCAAUGCUAAGCCCAGUACUUCUAAACAGGGCUCUCAAAUGAUGAAGAAGGUAUCAUCAGCUCUGUCAAAGGUGUUUUCAAGAUCUAACGCCAAUCUUCCCAAAUC